Molecule: ribosomal RNA, 1461 nt
Filed under: Halomonas sp. JCM 11460
Lineage: Bacteria; Pseudomonadati; Pseudomonadota; Gammaproteobacteria; Oceanospirillales; Halomonadaceae
Description: bacterial SSU rRNA
Rfam family: Bacterial small subunit ribosomal RNA
Source: RNAcentral
AUUGAACGCUGGCGGCAGGCCUAACACAUGCAAGUCGAGCGGCAGCACGGGAAGCUUGCUUCCUGGUGGCGAGCGGCGGACGGGUGAGUAAUGCAUAGAAAUCUGCCCGGUAGUGGGGGAUAACCUGGGGAAACCCAGGCUAAUACCGCAUACGUCCUACGGGAGAAAGCAGGGGCUCUUCGGACCUUGCGCUAUCGGAUGAGUCUAUGUCGGAUUAGCUUGUUGGUGAGGUAAUGGCUCACCAAGGCGACGAUCCGUAGCUGGUCUGAGAGGAUGAUCAGCCACAUCGGGACUGAGACACGGCCCGAACUCCUACGGGAGGCAGCAGUGGGGAAUAUUGGACAAUGGGCGAAAGCCUGAUCCAGCCAUGCCGCGUGUGUGAAGAAGGCCUUCGGGUUGUAAAGCACUUUCAGUGGGGAAGAAAGCCUWGRGGCUAAUACCCUCGAGGAAGGACAUCACCCACAGAAGAAGCACCGGCUAACUCCGUGCCAGCAGCCGCGGUAAUACGGAGGGUGCGAGCGUUAAUCGGAAUUACUGGGCGUAAAGCGCGCGUAGGCGGUCUGAUAAGCCGGUUGUGAAAGCCCCGGGCUCAACCUGGGAACGGCAUCCGGAACUGUCAGGCUAGAGUGCAGGAGAGGAAGGUAGAAUUCCCGGUGUAGCGGUGAAAUGCGUAGAGAUCGGGAGGAAUACCAGUGGCGAAGGCGGCCUUCUGGACUGACACUGACGCUGAGGUGCGAAAGCGUGGGUAGCAAACAGGAUUAGAUACCCUGGUAGUCCACGCCGUAAACGAUGUCGACUAGCCGUUGGGCUCCUUGAGAGCUUUGUGGCGCAGUUAACGCGAUAAGUCGACCGCCUGGGGAGUACGGCCGCAAGGUUAAAACUCAAAUGAAUUGACGGGGGCCCGCACAAGCGGUGGAGCAUGUGGUUUAAUUCGAUGCAACGCGAAGAACCUUACCUACCCUUGACAUCGUGCGAACUUUCCAGAGAUGGAUUGGUGCCUUCGGGAACGCACAGACAGGUGCUGCAUGGCUGUCGUCAGCUCGUGUUGUGAAAUGUUGGGUUAAGUCCCGUAACGAGCGCAACCCUUGUCCUUAUUUGCCAGCGCGUAAUGGCGGGAACUCUAAGGAGACUGCCGGUGACAAACCGGAGGAAGGUGGGGACGACGUCAAGUCAUCAUGGCCCUUACGGGUAGGGCUACACACGUGCUACAAUGGCCGGUACAAAGGGUUGCGAAGCCGCGAGGUGGAGCUAAUCCCGAAAAGCUGGUCUCAGUCCGGAUCGGAGUCUGCAACUCGACUCCGUGAAGUCGGAAUCGCUAGUAAUCGUGAAUCAGAAUGUCACGGUGAAUACGUUCCCGGGCCUUGUACACACCGCCCGUCACACCAUGGGAGUGGACUGCACCAGAAGUGGUUAGCCUAACUUCGGAGGGCGAUCACCACGGUGUGGUUCAUAACUGGGGUG